GACCAUUGUUUUGUCUAACCGGGCAGAAUAUAGGCAAGGAGGAACUCAGAAGGGAUGUUGUUGUUAGUGCCACGGAGUCAUUUCUGACUCCUAGGGACCCGGUGUCCAGGAGAGUGGAACUCUGCCCCGUCUUUUUACACCAUCCUUUCACCUUCCUGUGCCGCAUCAGACAGUGCGCCCUGCUAUUUAUAGGGUUUUCGUGGCCAAUUCUUUUGGAAUUGGGUGGCCAGGUCCUUCUUUCUAGUCUGUCUAGUCUGGAAGCUCCACUGAAACCUGUCCACGACGGGUGACCCUGCUGGUAUUUGAAAUGCCGGUGGCAGAGCUGUCAGCAUCACAGCCACAUGCAGCUGCCACGGUGUGACACCUGACAGACAGGGGUGCGGUUCCCUGACUGGGAAACAAACCCCAGGCGGUGGUGGUGAGAGUGCAGGGUCUCAACCACGAGACCACCAGGGCUGGCUCAGAAAGGGAUGAGGGCAGUGUGAAAACAGGAUGACCAAGAAGAGGAGCCUCCAGAUGGAAGGGUUCCUGACUCCUCGGGGAGAGACCAGCACCUCAGCAGAUACCUCCCGCCAAUAAAAAUAUGGACACUGAGAAUUCCAGAAGUAAACAGAUUUGCCCAUCCAUCAGAGCAUAGACAAUAAACGCCACGGUCUUUACUACUCCCUCACUCCCGAGAAGUACAGCGCACCAGACAGAAAUGCUUUUGGCUGCAGAUAACAGAAUGCCAGCUAAUAAAAACUUCAGAAACAGAAGCGUUCAGUUACUGAACUUAACUAGGAGCGGGAAGGCAGGCAACUCCCAGGUUUGUUGCGAGUGCCAACAGUGUCACCAAGCACCCAGCCAUCCUCAGCUUACUGGUUUUCGAGCUUCGUGAGUGUGGUCAUAGAAGGCUGCCACAGCUCUGGGCAUCCCGAGCAAAUGCCAGUGGCGAGCCCGAGGGCACUCUGCUUGCCCCCUGCAGCUCAGCCCGGCUUCAUACAGAUCCUCUGGCUUGUCUGCUGGCCGCUGUGUUGCGAUGACAGAGAAGAGCCCAGGGUGCCGGACAAAGUCUGGGGCUGGAGGCCGAUCCCUCGUCGUUCCUGCCCACGGUCUCACUGAGCGAGAGUCACGGAGGCUCUCUGCACCUCCAUUUCCUCAUGGGGACCUGGAGUUUUAGAGCAUUCACAUGGCAUGUCCGAACGUAACCAUGGAUAUGAAGGUGUGAAAUCACAGUUGGAACUCAGGAGACUCUCUCUACGAUAUCACACUGCCUUUGAAAUCACUCAAAAUUGUCUUUUAAAGGAAAUCCUGCCAUUUGUGUCAACAUGAUGGACCCUAAGGACAUUAUGGCUGGAAAUCUGAUGAGACAGUAGCCCAGCCUCAACCAGAGGUGAAGUGGACACUCUAGGGAUGGUGCAGAAACAAGCUGGAAGCAAGCUGGGGUGGCUGGUGGAGCAGAGCACCCCCACCCCACCCCGCACUAACCAGAGUGUCAGGAAAGAGAGAAAGAAAGCUGACUGACGUGGAGAAACUGAGGCUGAGAGAGAUUAAGCUUCUUGCCUACGGUACCACAGUAAAUAGUUGUAGGUCCCUCUGGUUGUGCCAUGUGGGACACCGCCUCAGCAUGGCCUGACGAGUGGUGCCAUGUCUACGCCGAGGAUCCCAAUCGGGGAAAACCUGAGCUGCCAAAGCAGAGCGCACGAACUUCACCACUCCGUCAUGGGGCCAGCCCCCAAGGGCAGUUCUGAUUGGAUAUCUUAAUGAAUCUUAUCUAGAAAAGGCGACGAAUAGAAAGAGGCUAAAGAGUGGAAGAGAAGUCCCCAUGAACGGAAGGUGAAGCACUUCCAUUUUGUCCUCACCACAAACGUCUCCAGUGUGUAAAGUCAUUACUCCCAGCUCACAGGAGAAGAAACCCAAGCUUAGGACGGUCAAGGAGCUUGUCCACAGACGCACGGCCAAUGGUCCGACCUGGAGCCUGUGCUCUCAGCCUCUCCCCCAGCUUCCCUCUCUCCUUGAGCUUCUCAAGGCCUUCACUUGCUUAUCUGAAACCUGGGAAGAAAGCUGGCACCUUCUUCCCUCCGGUGGCCUGCGGCUCAGCCGGCGGGAUGCGCUGUUGGCUGUGAGCGGCCUUGCAGAGACGGGGGCAUCCUCCCUGCUGUGGCUUCGAGGGCAGCGUCAUCACAAAGGCCCUUAGCACGGACGCUUGAGAAAGGCUGAUUCCAGCGCGAAGUGAGGACAGUCUCUCCACAGCAAGUGCUCCUGAGAGAGCUGGGCUCCCUCUGAGGUGGGAAGCCG
Long non-coding RNA from Equus asinus (donkey), 2277 nucleotides. NCBI's taxonomy places the organism in Eukaryota, Metazoa, Chordata, Mammalia, Perissodactyla, Equidae. The record is from Ensembl.